ACGAGGCAGGGGCCUUCAGGGAGCUAAGCGGCUGACAUCCCUGGUGGAUGGGUGGGUGUGAGAGAGAGAUCUUGCCCUGCUCUACGCCUGCUUUCUGCUGCUGCUGCUACAUUGGCAAUCAGUGCCACCGCUUUCAAAAGUGCUGCCUUCAUUGCCAAGCCCAGGGAGAGGAGCACAAAAGGCUGGUGAUCGGAGCGUGGGAACACUGCGAUUUCCAUUUGUGAGGCAGCCAUUCCCCAAUCAGGGGCGGGAACAAGUCUCCAACUCCUUCCCCUCCUUUCUAUCUUCUUUUUUUUUGGGGGGGGAGGAAUUCCCAGAGUUGAACUUCAGCCCCUGUUGCAUCACAGCAGUCCGGGGUGGAAAGGAGCAGGAACAAAGAACGGUGGAGAUCCCUGGUACGGCGAGAUUCUUUUAAAAUACUAUUUUCUUUCAAAGCACGGAGACAGCACAGCUCUUCUUGGUAAAGAAAAAGGGGAAGAUUUUAAAAGGGAAGCGUAAAAAAACAAAACAAGAAAACGGUGGCAGUGGUUGCCCACCCAUCAGGCCUAUGAUCUACAGCAGUAGAAACCCAAUCCAGACCUCUGAACACAAUCAGCUCUAUUUAUCAGGAAGUUGCAGCUCUCUCGCAAGAUGCAUAUCAGAAAGUCAGGGGUGGAGCGGUAGAAAAAAGAAGUGGAAGAGAGAACACAGUGUUCCAGGCUGAAAAACAGUUAUUAGAAGAGCCAGGUGGUGAGUGCCCAGGCGAAUAUUGGGGUUGGGGUGCCUCCUUGGAAAGAAGGACUGGGGAAGAAGCAAGCUAAUACCCAUCUGGAAGGAAAGGGGUAAUAAGUGAGUAUCUGUUUAGGAACUGGGCAAGGAAUUUAGAGAAGAGAUUGGCUAAAAGCAAACGAGGGUGUUUUUUUGUUGUUUUUAACGUGGGUGCUACGUUCCCGCCCGGAGCUAUUUAAGGACAGGACUGAGCCCACCACCGUGACCCCCUUACCGGAAGUGCAGCCCCCUUCCCUUUUAUUUGGGGAUGGGCUGCGGGGAAAGGCCGCCGGGUCUCCUUCCCUCUUGGCCCCCCUCCCCUUUCCCAACUUACCCGCCCCAAAGAGCGCGGGAGUCCCGCCGUCGCUGCCAUGCUGUUGGUGGUGCUUCUGUCUAAUGAAGCCGGGCGUGGCCUGCUGGAACCGGGGCAGAAAGGUUCCGCCCCUCGCCCGCCUCCAGCUCCACCUCUAUUUGCCUACUUUCCAUGCGGCUCUCCAUGACAAAAAGGCUCGAGCUGAAAAGAGGGCGCAGCUCAGGACGCCUUUGUUUUCAAUGUCAAAUUUUGAAGGAUGAGUGCGCCGCUAAGUAUGUACAAAGGGCUUUGCUUCCCUUCCCCCGGUCGACUUCAUUUAAACGGCGAGUUAAAAUGCGAAGGCUCUACAACCCUAAUAAGGAAUUAUAUCGAGAUUAUAUUCAGUACUGCGACGUAUUCAGCACAUUCUUCCUUAUGUAUGAUUAAAAAACAACAACAAGCAAGUUGAGUGAAACAGAAACAUUUACAUUUACAGAAACGGCUACAUUUAUGGUAGCUGAUAAAGGCAAGAUCAGAAGCACUGAUGAUGCAAGAAUGAAGGGUGUCUGUUAGGAAAGGAUUUGUGGAAAUGUGUACAUGUAUUUUAGACACACAAACACAUCUUCGUUUUUCUUGGCACAAAUACCCUCUACAAAGUAGGGGGGGAUGUUGCAGCCAAUCACACUCGCUUUCCCUACACACGCCCACUCACCCAUCCAAUGGCAAAGCUGGCAGUUUCACAUACACCCUUCAAGGAGCACAUGUGUCAGCUCUGCAUCUGACUAUGCACAGAGCAAGCAAACAGCAGCACAGGGGCAUGGCCAACAGCAGGGAGGGAUUCAAGAAUGUGCACAAACACCCACGUCAUCUGGCUUGGGUGUUAUUUAUUUUAAACGUUAUAGCCCUCCCAUAAACUUAGAACAGGGAACAGUAAAUGGGAGGGCAUAACACAUCAAGUGUUCAGUUAAAAAUCGGUUUAGACUGGAAAGCCACAACACAAGGAAACUGAAAAGCGUGACUUCUUACUGGACUAACCACAGCUGUGGAAAGACACCUCCAGUAAAAAUAUGUCUAGGUAUCCAAGAGUUGCAAUGCACAAGGCAGCACAGGAGCCACUGUGUGAAUCAGUGUCUAAAGCGUUAAUCUGGGUCCAGAGUUGUGGUUGUUAAAAUCAUGAGCUAAGAGAUGGAAAGCCCCUGUUUUUGUCUUCACAGCACAGCUGUGAACUCAUUGACUGGCCAUUGGCAAGGCACUAUGGAGCUUCAGUCUCUCCUCUCACCCAUUUUGUAAGAAAAAGGGGGCAAAAUAAUUAUAAUCCUACCCUACCAUAAACACUGGCUAUACUUACAAAAAUCACUAGGAUCAUGUAUGGAAAGGUUUUAGGCACUUACAAAAACUCAUUUAAAUCCUAAAUUUUAUUGAUGUUCUCCCUGUAUAGCCAUGUCCUUGAGAAAAAUGACAGCAAGAUCUCCCAUCCUUACUGGUUAAAAUAGUAAAAAUUAACUACCUCACUAGGGCUCUUAGGAGGAUGAAGAAGAGGAGGUCUUAAGCACUUUGAAGACAAUGAAUUUUUUCCAAGUGAUAAUCAUGUUGAAUUGAAUUAUUUUAGUUCAUUUUUUGUAAAAAUGGGAGGGGAGACAAUAAACACAUUUUUUUUAAAAAAAAAUCUGAAUGGUGUAGAAAUUGUUUAUGUGCUUGCCUAAAGCGGAAAGAACGCAUCCUGGACUCACGAGUUUUGGAAACGAAACAGGGUAAUCAUCCAGAUGAGAAAACCUAGAACAAAACCAUUCACUUACCCACCAACUCUUGCAACUUCUGUAUUGGCAUUCUGCCAGCUUUUGAAGAUCCACUUUUUUACAUAAAAAAUUCUUUGAUUGCUUGA
Molecule: long non-coding RNA, 2921 nt
Organism: Podarcis muralis (Common wall lizard)
Lineage: Eukaryota; Metazoa; Chordata; Lepidosauria; Squamata; Lacertidae
Source: RefSeq, a predicted model, not a curated record